Molecule: long non-coding RNA, 950 nt
Organism: Sycon ciliatum
Lineage: Eukaryota; Metazoa; Porifera; Calcarea; Leucosolenida; Sycettidae
Exons: 5
Source: RefSeq, a predicted model, not a curated record
CAGGUAUGCUUGACAACAUGAACUUUUGGGCUGUGUGGCGACUUUGAUCCCGUUGAUUCGGGGCAUGUGUUGGUUGCCAGUGAAUGAUGGCUCGGUCUGGCAUUGAACCUCACUCCUUCAAGGGAAGUGUGGGGCUCUGAUAUGCUUGACAAGACGAACGGUUGGGUAAUGUGGUGACUCUGUUCCCUUUGAUUUGGGGCGUGCGUUGCUUGGCAGUGAAUGAUGGCGCGAGCUUGCAUUGAACUUCACUCCUUCAAGGGAAGUGUGGGGCUCUAGUAUGCUUGACAUUAUGAACGGUUGGGCAGUGUGGCGACCUUGAUCCCGCUGAUUCGGGGCAUGUGUUGGUUGGCAGUGAAUGAGGGCUCGGUCUGGCAUUGAACCUCAUUCCUUCCAGGGAAGUGUGGGGCCCUGAUAUGCUUGACAAGAUGAACGGUUGGGCAGUGCGGGGACUCUGUUCCCUUUGAAUAGGCGUGGGCUUUUCUUGGCAGUGAAUGAUCGGUCGAUCUCGCAUUCAUCCUCACUCUUGCAAGUGAUUCUGUGGACAAGAGAUGCUUUGCAUUGAACAGUGGCUUGGCCUUGCUUUCAACCCCACACUCAUUCAAGGCCUCAUCACGGCAGAGACAAUCAACUUAAGAAAUGCAUUAACUGUGACAGCAGGAUGAAGAAGGGCAAGGGUACAUCCAGGAUGUCGUCGUGGCUAUGCCUGAAUCAAUCUAUCCUGACAUCGUCAUCGUUGUCAUGUCUAAGCAGUAUCAAAUCAGAGAUGUGGCGGAUGUUGCCUGCUACUCAACGUUCUGAUGUUGGCUGGAAAGUGUUUUGAAGAUUAUCAUCAACCUGGGAUCCAUGCAAGGUAUCGCUGUUGCUGUCGGCCUCCUCUUCUGACACCUUGCUGAGGCUGCUGGCAUUGGCCACUUUUCAAUAUUCUGAAUAAAACAAACCUAAACUCGCCA